GAUGAACGCUGGCGGCGUGCCUAAUACAUGCCAGUCGAGCGAACAGACGAGGAUCUUGCUCCUCUGACGUUAGCGGCGGACGUGUGAGUAACACGUGGAUAACCUACCUAUAAGACUUGGAUAACUUCGGGAAACCGGAGCUAAUACCGGAUAAUAUAUUGAACCGCAUGGUUCAAUAGUGAAAGACGGUUUUGCUGUCACUUAUAGAUUGAUCCGCGCCGCAUUAGCUAGUUGGUAAGGUAACGGCUUACCAAGGCGACGAUGCGUAGCCGACCUGAGAGGGUGAUCGGCCACACUGGAACUGAGACACGGUCCAGACUCCUACGGGAGGCAGCAGUAGGGAAUCUUCCGCAAUGGGCGAAAGCCUGACGGAGCAACGCCGCGUGAGUGAUGAAGGUCUUCGGAUCGUAAAACUCUGUUAUUAGGGAAGAAAAAAUGUGUAAGUAACUAUGCACGUCUUGACGGUACCUAAUCAGAAAGCCACGGCUAACUACGUG
Molecule: ribosomal RNA, 497 nt
Filed under: uncultured bacterium
Lineage: Bacteria
Description: partial 16S ribosomal RNA
Rfam family: Bacterial small subunit ribosomal RNA
Source: RNAcentral